This 278-nucleotide ribosomal RNA is filed under the name Megamonas funiformis YIT 11815. RNAcentral's name for it is "partial 16S ribosomal RNA". It matches the Rfam family "Bacterial small subunit ribosomal RNA", at positions 498 to 776 of the family's 1533-position model. The record is from RNAcentral. Lineage: Bacteria; Bacillati; Bacillota; Negativicutes; Selenomonadales; Selenomonadaceae.
UAUGUAUGUGCCAGCCGCCGCGGUAAUACGUAGGCGGCAAGCGUUGUCCGGAAUUAUUGGGCGUAAAGGGAGCGCAGGCGGGAAACUAAGCGGAUCUUAAAAGUGCGGGGCUCAACCCCGUGAUGGGGUCCGAACUGGUUUUCUUGAGUGCAGGAGAGGAAAGCGGAAUUCCCAGUGUAGCGGUGAAAUGCGUAGAUAUUGGGAAGAACACCAGUGGCGAAGGCGGCUUUCUGGACUGUAACUGACGCUGAGGCUCGAAAGCUAGGGUAGCGAACGGG